CCUACGGGAGGCAGCAGUGAGGAAUAUUGGUCAAUGGGCGCGAGCCUGAACCAGCCAAGUCGCGUGAGGGAAGACGGUCCUAUGGAUUGUAAACCUCUUUUGUCGGGGAGCAAAAGACGCCACGCGUGGCGUUCCGAGAGUACCCGAAGAAAAAGCAUCGGCUAACUCCGUGCCAGCAGCCGAGGUAAUACGGAGGAUGCGAGCGUUAUCCGGAUUGAUUGGGUUGAAAGGGUGCGCAGGCGGAAGAGCAAGUCAGCGGUAAAAUUGAGAGGCUCAACCUCUUCGAGCCGUUGAAACUGGUUUUCUUGAGUGAGUGAGAAGUAUGCAGAAUGCGUGGUGUAGCGGUGAAAUGCGUAGAUAUUAGGAGGAACACCAGUGGCGAAGGCGGCCUACUGGGCUUUAACUGACGCUGAGGCACGAAAGCGUGGGUAGCAAACAGGAUUAGAUACCCCAGUAGUC
Molecule: ribosomal RNA, 459 nt
Filed under: uncultured bacterium
Lineage: Bacteria
Description: partial 16S ribosomal RNA
Rfam family: Bacterial small subunit ribosomal RNA
Source: RNAcentral